UUGGCAGCCUUAAUCUUCAAUCUUUAGCCUCAACUUCUAACUUAUUGAAUCUCUCUUAGGAUUUCUUCUUACAGUUAACUUCUCCUUAAGUUAUCUUUAAAUACCACUAAAUUAACAUAUUCUCCCUACUUAAGCCUAAUUGGCUCUUAAUAUGGGCUUAGAAUAAUUAUAGAACCCAUAAAACCUUAAUCAGCCCACAACCCUUUUCUUUCCCACACUAAUCCUUUAGAUUUUCCUUUUCAAUGUCGCGGCGCUCACUUGGCUUCAAGCCUCCUCUUGCUGCCUAUUGUACUCCAUCAACUUCCAAUGUAUUUUUCUCCAUCUUCAAGGCAAAACUGGGUAAAGUGAUCUUUAUAAAAGUUGUAGCUCUAUUUCUUAAAUUUCUAAUGGUUCAUGAAUCACAUCAUUAGGACAUUUGGAGUGGAGUUAUGCUCAAAAUGCUGCAACAUGUACCAAUAGAGGCAUGGUCCUUUAUUCACCUUUCUUCACCAAUUUGAAGCCUUAUUCCUCAAAAUCCUACAAAAGCAUAAAAACUAAUAAAUAAUAAUGCAACUAAAAUAAAUAAACAUAAAAUAGUAUAAGAUAAAAGAACUUAAUAAAAGCAAACAAAUUAGAAAAAUAACUAAAUUUUAAUCUAAACUCAAGAACUUAGCUAGCUUUUAAUAACAAAAUAAGACAAAAUAACUCUAUAAAAUAGAAUUAUUAGUUACCACUCAAUGCUCCAUCGAUAUUAAACUUAAAAGUACCAUGAAAUGGUGGUUGCCAUGUAACAUUAACUUUCACCAACAGAGGACUAGAAGAGGUGACAACAGCAUUAGGAAACCUUUCAAAGUCCAAAAUCAAUAAGUUUAAGUGUGGCCACUUGGCAUGAGCCCACCAUGCAAUACGCAACUUAAUCAUAUCAAAAGUAUGGUGACAAUCCCAUAUCUUCCCAUUGAAGCAAACAUUGUUACGACUUAACCAUAUAGUCCAUAAAAUGGCCGGGAACACCAUUUUAUAAACAUCUUGAUUGUUAAGAACUUUGGCAACCUCAUUCCAAGUAAGGAAAUUGACCAAAGGGUCCUUAUGCAUGACUCAACUAAACCCCCAAUUGUUGGCCCAUAAGCCCCAUAAAUGCCAAGUUUUAGCACAACAAAAAAAGAUAUGGUUAACAAAUUCAUAAUCUUUUAUACAGAUGAGGCAUUCGGUAACUUCAAUCGGGAUAAAGUCUCUUUUCAAAAGAGUUUCUCUUACAUCAACUUUACCUUUAAGAAUGAGCUAGUAGAACAACUCAACCUUCAAAGGCGUAAGCCUUCUCCACAGAUCUUUCUAUUUGAAAAGUUAGCUUAAUGAAAAUAUCCAAGAGGGGGAGAAUUGGAUUUCAAAAACUUUUGGAAAGUGUUAAAACAAUCAGCUAUAGUUGACUAUCAAGAAACUCUAGUUGACCGUGGUUGUGGUUCUUUUCACAAACCAACUCCAAUGUCUUUCAAACAAAAUUGUGGUAGACUAUGAAGACUCAAAAAUCAAUCUUAGACUAAGAAACUCAUUUUGAAACCUUGUAAGAGGAAUUUCAACAAAAACCUUAAUGUAUAUUUAAGUUUUAGUCAAAGCUACUUAAUCAAACAUAGACAAAUGGUUACUUUGAAAUGAUUAAACAUUGUUCAAAUGUAAAUCAAAUAAAGGCAACUUUCAGAAAAACAUUUCAAGAAAUCUUUUCAACAAGGUAUGGACAAUUUUGUGAUGGUUGAAAAAGAUUUAGAAAAGAACCAACCAAGAUGUGAAAAGUAUGAAUCAAACUACAAGCACUUUAUGAAAUGGGUUCUUUUGAAAUGAAAUAUAGCAAAACAAAACAAUGAUAAAAUGAAAAUACUAGGUAAAAAUCAAAACUUCUUCAAAAUGGAUUUCCUACUUAUGUUAAAAUCAAAGCAAAUGAUUUUUCUAAAAUAGUUUCAACAAUAAAUCACAAUGCAUAAAAGUAAAUCAAGAUAGAAAGGUUUAUAGUAGUUCAGCUUUUCAAGCGCCUAUAUCCACUCCCUUGGUUAACCAAGGAAUUUUUAAUCUACUAAAAUGGAUUCUUGCUUUUUAACAAGAUAAAGCGGUAACCCUCAUAAUAGUUAUUUCACGAGAUCAAGCGAUAACCCAUGAUUUUUAACUAGCUCAACCACCAACCCAUCAAUUUCAAGAGGCUCACCAUAAACCUAUUGUUUUAACAAGUUCACCACAAAUCCAUGGUUUUUAACAAGAUCACCACAAACCCAUACAAUGGCUUCUUCUGGGAUCAACCAUAACCCUUGCACUAACUUUUCAAGGUUAAGUUAGAACCUUGACAAGAAUAACAAUAAUGCCUCUAAAAGAAAGAUUUUUCCAGUGUGGUACAAUGUAGGAAGAAUGCUUAACAUUGGAUAAAAAGAUAGGAUUUAAAGAUAAAAGUGACAGCACAAAGAAAUUUUAGCUCAAAAAGGCUUGAUUUCUCUCAUUUUCUUUCAAGACUCUGAUCCUCAAGAGUUGGGCUUUUUUCUUUUCAUCUUUCUCACUUUUGAAUGCUUCCAAAUGGUCCUUUUUAUAAUUUGAGAGGUCAUAAAGCCAUUGGAGAUUAUUAGGGCAAGAAACUAGUCGUUUUCCUUUUGAAUUUUGUGUCUAACUGUCACUUAUAGUCAACUAUGAAGUUUCUCUAGUCGAUCUUUUCCAAAAAGCUUGUAUUUUUCUGACCAAAGCUUAGAGGGUUGACUGGCACUGUUCCAGGGUUGACUAUAGUUUCAUUAGGAUUGACUAUGCCACUAUUCCAAGGUCGAUUAUAAGCUGUAUGGGUUCGACUAUGGCUGUCUCUUUUUUAAGUUUCUUUCUUCAUUCUUGCCCGUUCUUCCAUAAGAUAGACUUGCCUUGCUUUAGGAUCGAUUGGAGUUUUGUUUCUUCAAGAUUCCUUGACAUUUUAGCAUGUAACGUUGGCCAUAUCUUCCUUGUGAUCAAAUGUUGAGCGAUGACUAAGUUUCUUGACUUGAAGCAAGCUUGGUGUAAUGUAGAUUGAUGACUUCAAAUGCUUUGAGAUAAACUUAACCAUUUAAGAACAUAUCUUGCAACUUUAACUUCUCAAAGGUAAAUGUUAGAGAGAACAUAAAUAAAACUCUUUUAAGCAAAUUUAACACUCAUACAAUUAAGUCAUUCAAGCUUGCAGACAUUUGUAGAACAAGUGUGUGAUAAUUUAAUAGCUUCAAAAAUUCGCACAACUAAAACAAUCAAGCUUGUAAUCAUGUAAGAACAAAUGUAUGAGAGCUAAAUCAUUCAAGGACUUGUCAAGAUUCACUCAAAUAAUAUUCAAGCAAAUUCGGAUCAUUUUAUCACAAUCAAAACUAUAAUCAUUUUAAGGCUAACACCUUCUACUGACUAGUUUCCAAAAAUAUAUUGCAAAAGGAUUUGGUUGUGUAAUAGUCAUUUAAGUUUGUUUCUAGAUCAACUUAUCGUCAAAAUUUUUGCCUAAAACUUGUUAAUUAAGGAGAUGAUGAACAACUUCCCAUUGAUUAAGUUCCCAUCCAAAAAGCCUUCUCCUUAGUUCUAAACGUCAUUACCACACAUUACCAAACCAUUUUCCAUAUUUGUCAAUCAUACCAUUUUAAUGAUGGCUAAGGCGAAGAAUAUUGGGACUAUGGUAUUUAGUACAAUUUCAUCAAUCCAUUGAUCAUGCCAAAAGUUGAUCUUUUGACCAUAACCAUUAAGAGUCCAAAAUUAUCUUUUACAACUUGACUACGGUUGUCAUGAUGGGAAAAACGUUUAGUAACAUUACACUAAAUGUCAAAGACCAUUGUAGAACACCUUUUUGAUGGAAGUAGGUUAUCAUUUUCGCAACCUGUUUUACUCAUAAUAACCUUCCACCAUAAGCUUCCAGACUCAUUACCUAACCUCCAUAUCCACUUAUUGAAGAGGGCACGAUUUUUUAGGUUCAAGUCGCCAACCCCAAGACCUCUAAGUUUCUUAUGAAGGCAAACUGAGUUCUAAUCAACAACAUGCAUUUUUUACUUCCCAUUUAAGCCACCCCAAAGAAACCAUAUUUGAAUUUUGUCAAGUUGUUCUCUAAUACCAACCAAGAUUUAGAAAAGUGAUAUGUAAAAAAUGGGCAGGCUGUCGAACAUAGACUUUAAAAGUGUUAUCCUUCCACCCAUGGAUAAGUACCUAGCUUUCCAUGUCGAGAGUUUGGCUUCAAAUUUAUCAACAACAAGUUGUCAUAUCUUAAGAGAGCUAGAUUUGCCCCCUAACAAAAGCCCCAAACAAGUAGUUGGAAGUUUCCUAAUUGAACAAGCAAUUUUACUAGCCCACUCUUCAACCAACCUUUGCUCCAAUCCAAUUCCAUAGAGGCAGCUUUUGUUGAGGUUGAUCUUAAAACCUGAAAUAGCCUGAAAGAAUCUUAGAUACAUUUGACAUUUAACAAAUUAUCAAGAGAAGAUUUACAAAUGAUUACCAUAUCAUCAACGAAUUGUAAAUGACAAAUAGCAAGCUCAUCUCCUUCGACAGUAACUCUCUUGAUAAUAUGUUCACUUUCUAUCUUUCUCAUCAUGAUGAUAAAAGCCUUUAAAACAAGAUUGAAGAGGAAAGGAGACAACGAGCAGCCUUGUCUCAAUCCUCUACAUAUAUGGAAUUGCUGUGAAAGGGUUUCAUUAACAAGAAUAGAGAUGAGAGCUAUAGUAAUGCAUGCUCGGACCCAAGCUCUCCACCUUUCACCAAACCCCAUAUGUCUCAUGACCAGAUCCAAGAAGCCCCAUUCAAUGCUAAAAAGGCAUUUUCAAAGUCGAUUUUGAAGAAGAGACCCCCAUUCCUUUCUUUCUUAAAGAGGUCAAUUAACUUGUUGGCGAUGAGACUACAAACCAUAAGCAACCUACCCUUAAUGAAGGCGAAUUGAUUUUCUCAAAUAACUUCCUCCAAUACCCCUUUCAUCCGGUUAACAAAUGCCUUAGUGACAAUUUUAUAGAGGCUACUUACCAGACUGAUGGGCCGAUAAUCACCAAUUGAAGAUGGGCAAGCUCGUCUUGGGACCAAGGUAAUAAAAGACGUGUUUAUACACCCAUCUAACAUGGCUAUAUUGUGGAAGUCUUCAACAUAAUGCAUAAUGUCCUCUUUCACAAUGCCCCAUUGUUUUUUUUUUUAAAAAUUGAGAUUAAAGCCAUUUGGCCUCGGGACUUUAUUCCCAUCACAACUUGCUAUUGCUUCCUAUAUUUCCACUUCUGUGAAAAGACUGUCCCAAGAAAUAGCAAAACUUUCAUAAAGUUUCUUGAAAUGCCAAUUGAUAAAUCUCCCUUAGACUUAGUAAUAUGAAAUUAUUUCAACAAAUAUGAUUUGAAAAUAUUAAAAUGUUCAGCUGAACAUAAAUAAAAAUACACAUAAAUGUUGAAACAAAGAUAAGUAAAGAAAUAAUAAAAUUGUUUAAAGCGACAAUUAGAAAUAUUAAAAAGUUUCGAUGAGGAAACAUCUUUCAAAGAAAAUAAGUAAACAUUUUCAUCACUAUCAAACGAAUAGAAUUAUUAUUAAUCUUUCAAAGAUGAAAAGAUCUCUCUCACCCAAGAAGAAAGAAAGAUGACAUAUACAAUUUUUUAUCGUUCAACCCCCUUACUUGGCCUACCCAUGUGCAUGUCAUUUUUCUACCACCUUGGCCUUCUCCAGGCACCCCUGGACUUCCCCACUUGUUUUUCUUGCUUUGCUAUAUAUAUAUAUAUAUAUAUUAUUAUAUAUUAUAUAUAUAUAUAUAUAUAUAUAUAUAUAUAUAUCCUUUCUUUUUCGUUUUUUUAAUUGCGCAUAUGCCUGUUCCUUUCCCUUUAUCUUUAUCGACAAGUACUUAUCCUUCAAUGUGCUGUUUUGUAUGUUAUUAUUUUUAUGGGCAUACAAUGUAUGUGUAUAGUAUUUAUUAAGGAUUACUAUUAUGAAAUCUUUGUGAUAAUAAUGGGCAUGGUCUUAAUGAUAAGAAUACAUCAUGAAUUCAUAUGGAUGAUAAAACUAUACAAGUAAAACAGGCGCGACAGCACCAGCGAGUGGGGGGGUGGGAAUUGGGAAAGGAGUGGCCUUCGAUUGGUGACUAUGGUGUUGGUGGUAGGUUUCAACCCCCUAGAAAGCAUGUACUAAGGCAGCAUGGCAAACAGAAAAAGGAGUCCACACUUAAGAAACAAAAGCCCAAACCAAGAACUUGGGAUUAAAAAAGAAACAGAAGCCCAAAGAAACGAAAGUACGAAACAGAAAGCCCAAAAAGUUAGACCACCAAAACAGCCUAAAGUAUCCAUGGAAUAGAGUCUGUAUUAAGAUGUAAGAGGCCCAACUCAGCUAUAAUUAGGAGAAAAAAUUAAAUAAAUCUAUAAUUAUACCUUUUAUUAUUUUUAAUAUUCAUUUCGAUGUUUUAGAUACUUUUAAAUUUUAAUUACCUUCAUGAAGAAAAUAAUAUAUAUAUUUAUAAAAGCUUUACUUAUAGAAAUACAUCAUGAUUAAUUUCCAGUUGACUUAAUAUUGGACUCCUUUGUGACUUUUUAUGGGUAAUUUUGACAUUUUUAGAGAAAUAAAUUGAGGUAUGAUGAGUAGCUUUGAUAUUUUAAGAGGAUUAAUUAAGGUAUGAUCGUUUUCCAUUUUAAUGUAAUUUCAAUUUUCUAUAUGGUUUUAUUAUGCUUCCAGGUACAAAUUUUGACAAUUUUGUACAUAAUAUGAAUUUAAAUAAGUUUGGGUUUAGGUUAAUCAUGUUUUUUGUUUUAAUCGUGUCGAUACAAUUUAGAUACCAAUAAAUCGUAUUUUAACCGUAUCAAAUCCACUUAAUUUGUUUAAGAUCUGUCUAAGACACGAUUAAUUAAUCAUGUUAUUUUAUAACCAUAUAACCUCUAACCUAUUUAUUAUUUAUUUAUUUAAUGGUGUUCACUUGUCGAGUAGACAUAUUUAAUGUGCAGUUAAGACCUAUUUAAUUAUCCAUAUAAGAACAAAUAUUUUUUUGAUGAUCAAGAUGUAUUGAUGUCGAAUUUUGUUAUAUUUGAUAAAUAUUAUGAUUCUUAUAAUUUUUUAUUAUAAAUUUGAAUUAUAAAAUUAUAUUUUAAUUAUAUAUAUAUGAAUUUAAUCGUGUUAAUAGUGUAAAUAAGUAAAUAAGUUAUAAAUCUAUAAAUUUUAAUAAUGUGAACAAAUCGUAUUACACCAUUUAAAAUUUAACUCAACACGUUUAAUGAACAUAUUAACUAUAUAAUGUUGUGUUACAUGUUUAUUAAACUUAUCCAUGUAUGUGUUUAAAAUUCUAACACGAUUAGUUAAUCGUGUCAUAUUCAUAUUUAUUCAUAUAAAUGUUAAUAUCUUAUAUUUAUACGAUAUGAUAAUGCUAGUUAAAUUUUUAUCUAGACAAGUAUACAUAUCAAAUAGAUAUUAUAUAAGCAAGCAGAUUAUCGAUCUCAUAGAGAAUUGAUAUAAAAUUUUACUAAAUACUAAAAUUAGAACAAUCUAACUUAUCCAAACAAUCAAUAUCAAAUAACUAAAUUAAUUAACUGAAAAUAAUUAACCAAAAUUUAAACUAAAAAUAAUAAAUCAAAGUAAUAAUAACUUGGGUAAAAAUCAAAUUAAGAAAGCCUAAGAUUACAAUAUCCCUCACACUUCAUCUAAAUCUUACAUUUCUUCCUUAACUUAUUUCAAUGGGUUGAAUUACUAACCUAGAGUCCUCAAUUAUUUAUUAAAGGUCUCCCAAAUUUUGUUAUAAAAAUAUCUAUUUUGAUUAAAACACGGUAUCCCUAUGUGAAUUAAGAUUAAAACAAACUCAUUAAGUUCAGGCUCUAAUUUGGUUACAUAUGAUUUAUAGAUAUAUCUCUAUCUUAUACGCAAAUCAAUUAAUAAGAUCAUAUGUGUCACGACCCAAAUUUCAGGCCAUGACCGACAGCCCAAUGGACGUAGUCCACUAAGCCCAAGCAAACCUAUUAAUAUGACCCGUUCAUCAUUCCAUCAAAGGUUGCUAAGUCACAUUUCAUAACUUCGAAUCAAAUUAAUACUAAGCAUUGCCAACUUGUAGUGGCCUUACCAAUCAAGUAUACAUGUAUUGUCUAAAAUAUAUGUCUAAAUAAUUUACAUCAGGUUUAUCUAUACAUAUCAAAAAGGAGACUCGAUUUCCAGCGGAGAGACCCAAGUGACAUACGACUAUUGAAUGCCGAGAUACCUACCAAGGAAACAAAUCUACAAGGGCACCUCGACCUAGUUACUGACUGCCUCUUAAUCUAAAAACAUGAGUUGAAAACGGUGAGUAUAAACCCGGUGAGUGAACAUAAGAAGGGAACAAGCAAUCAAUAGGAAGAAUUUGGAAAUCAUGAUGCACUUGUUUCAAAAACAAUGCAAUUGAUUUAGUUUCUUACCAAAAACCCCUCAUUUCAAACUCUGAUUAAUAACCUCAUAGUGUUGCAAAAACCCAUAAUCAAUCCAUGAAGUUAAAUGGGUGAAAAGUAUGUCAAAAUCAAGCAAGAUAGCAAGCAUGGCAGCAAGUUUCUCGCUGUAGCGAAGUUCAUUCUCGCUGCAGCGAGAUUCGGGAGGCUAAAACAGAAAGUUUCUCGCUGCAGUGAGAAAAUAGUGUCAAUUUGCAUAUGUUUUGGUUUUUCUAUCAUUUCUCCCACUAAAGAAGUCCAAUUGACCUGAUUUUUAGACCAUUAGAAAACUAAGAGGCAGGGCUACAACUUUUGUGUUUACCACUUUUCCCAUUUCGGACAGGAAUGUAGUCAAAAUCUUUAUUGAAGUGAAAGAACUGCACCAAAACUCGAGAAUUUCUUGCUACAACGAGUUGUUGGUUGCCAAAACAGAAUGUUUCUUGCUGCAGCGAGAAGCAGGGCACCUAGGUGUUAAAAGGACCUCCUUUGCACUAAAAAUUCAUUUGGUGUUGCAAUAAAAAUCAAUUUGCAAGAAAAUGGGAAAUUUUUAAGAUUCAUCAUGCCAAAUUUCACAUGCAUUACAUCCAUAAACCAUAUUCAUGAGCUUUCUAUAACACACACAUUUACAUAUACAUACAUCGUCAUCAUGUGUGCACUCCCUACUCGCACACUCAACAUCAUCACCCAACAUCAUUCAUCAAUACACAACACAUAUUCAUAAGAUAUAUACAUACAUACCAACAUAAUAUAAAGCAUAUGGAUUCAUCCUUAUACACAUCUCACAAUAUCAAAAACAUUUAAUCAAGGCUUGUUCCCUAGCGCACAUUUUAAAAGAAAAGUUGGAUAAAAUCAUUCAAAUAUCUUGUGCAAAUACAUUCAUAUUCCCAAAACAAGUUUGAAAUGCAAGUCCACUCACCGGUAUUUCGUUG
RNAcentral lists this long non-coding RNA (9250 nucleotides) under Theobroma cacao (cacao). RNAcentral's name for it is "long non-coding RNA (TCAC_LNC005224)". Lineage: Eukaryota; Viridiplantae; Streptophyta; Magnoliopsida; Malvales; Malvaceae. The record is from RNAcentral.